UUUCAGAUAGGAAAAGAAGUAGAUGAACACUUGAAAAGUACUGAAGAUGUCAACAAGCAUAUUGAAAUCGCUUCAGAAUACCAAUUACCUUCAAAUUCGGUCCAAGAUUUAUACACUGAGGAUUUGUCUGAAGUCGAAGAUGAUGACUUUCAGAUAGGAAAAGAAGUAGAUGAACACUUGAAAAGUACUGAAGAUGUCAACAAGCAUAUUGAAAUCGCUUCAGAAUACCAAUUACCUUCAAAUUCGGUCCCAGAUUUAUACACUGAGGAUUUGUCUGAAGUCGAAGAUAAUGACUUUCAGAUAGGAAAAGAAGUAGGUGAACACUUGAAAAGGACUGAAGAUGUCAACAAGCAUAUUGAAAUCGCUUCAGAAUACCAAUUACCUUCAAAUUCGGUCCCAGAUUUAUACACUGAGGAUUUGACUGAAGUCGAAG
This is a long non-coding RNA of Ruditapes philippinarum (Manila clam), 433 nucleotides long. RefSeq lists it as uncharacterized. The record is from RefSeq and is a predicted model, not a curated record. NCBI's taxonomy places the organism in Eukaryota, Metazoa, Mollusca, Bivalvia, Venerida, Veneridae. The transcript is spliced from 3 exons.